CUACGGGUUGCUGCAGUGGGGAAUAUUGGGCAAUGGGCGAAAGCCUGACCCAGCAACGCCGCGUGAUUGAAGAAGGCUUUCGGGUUGUAAAAAUCUGUCCUUGGGGACGAAGAAGUGACGGUACCCAAGGAGGAAGCCCCGGCUAACUACGUGCCAGCAGCCGCGGUAAUACGUAGGGGGCGAGCGUUGUCCGGAAUUACUGGGCGUAAAGGGUGCGCAGGCGGCGCUUUAAGUCAGAUGUGAAAUACCCAGGCUUAACCUGGGGGGUGCAUUUGAAACUGGAGCGCUUGAGUGCAGGAGAGGAAAGUGGAAUUCCUAGUGUAGCGGUGAAAUGCGUAGAUAUUAGGAGGAACACCAGUGGCGAAGGCGACUUUCUGGACUGUAACUGACGCUGAGGCACGAAAGCGUGGGGAGCAAACAGGAUUAGAUACCCCCGUAGUC
RNAcentral lists this ribosomal RNA (441 nucleotides) under uncultured bacterium. Its description in RNAcentral is "partial 16S ribosomal RNA". It matches the Rfam family "Bacterial small subunit ribosomal RNA", at positions 339 to 795 of the family's 1533-position model. The record is from RNAcentral.